RNAcentral lists this transfer RNA (72 nucleotides) under Ornithorhynchus anatinus (platypus). It matches the Rfam family "tRNA". From Rfam's summary of the family: Transfer RNA (tRNA) molecules are approximately 80 nucleotides in length. Their secondary structure includes four short double-helical elements and three loops (D, anti-codon, and T loops). Lineage: Eukaryota; Metazoa; Chordata; Mammalia; Monotremata; Ornithorhynchidae. The record is from Rfam by way of RNAcentral.
AGCAGUUUGGCCAAGUGGAAAGAGCAUUGGCCUGGGAGCCAGAGCACCUGGGUUCUAAUCCCAGUUCUGCCA